UACUUGGUAAUUGAUCUGGGUGGUGAGCCAAUUACAAGCAGUCAGUACUUUGGAAAUGGCCGGGUUACAGAAUUCAAGUAUGGUGCAAAACUCGGCACAGUUAUUCGCAAGUGGAACGGAGAGAAGAUGCGUUACUUAAAGAACUGGGGAGAAGGUUGGGGUUUCAUGUCUUCUGACAGAGCACUUGUCUUUGUGGAUAAACAUGACAAUCAACGAGGACAUGGGGCCGGAGGAGCUUCUAUUCUUACCGUCUGGGACGCUAGGCUGUAUAAAAUGCAGUUGGAUUUAUGCUUGCUCAUCCUUAUGGAAUUACACGAGUGAUGUCAAGCUACCGUUGGGCAAGACAUUUUGAAAAUGGACAAGUAAGUUUUGGAGUUAUUCAAAAUAUCAUGUUUUCGAGAAAAAGGAGGAAAUUUUGUCCUAACUUAACAUGACCACUAUUAAUUCUAUAUGUAUUCAACAAAUAUUUAUUAAGUGUAAACCAGAUACAGGGCUCUGAUUUUAGUAAUGUCAAUUAUAUUAAAAUAGCAAAAUGUAUGUUCUCUGUUGUCAAAGACUAUG
Long non-coding RNA from Sapajus apella (tufted capuchin), 561 nucleotides. RefSeq lists it as uncharacterized. The record is from RefSeq and is a predicted model, not a curated record. The transcript has 3 exons. NCBI's taxonomy places the organism in Eukaryota, Metazoa, Chordata, Mammalia, Primates, Cebidae.